UCGAGAAUUUUUCACAAUGGGGGAAACCCUGAUGGAGCGACGCCGCGUGGGGGAUGAAUGGCUUCGGCCCGUAAACCCCUGUCAUUUGCGAACAAAUUUUUUCACCUAACACGUGAAGAAUUGAUUGUAGCGGAAGAGGAAGGGACGGCUAACUCUGUGCCAGCAGCCGCGGUAAUACAGAGGUCCCAAGCGUUGUUCGGAUUCACUGGGCGUAAAGGGUGCGUAGGUGGCCGGGUAAGUCUGAUGUGAAAUCUCGAAGCUCAACUUCGAAACUGCAUUGGAUACUAUCCGGCUGGAGGGUCGGAGGGGGGACUGGAAUUCUCGGUGUAGCAGUGAAAUGCGUAGAUAUCGAGAGGAACACCAGUGGCGAAGGCGAGUCCCUGGACGACUCCUGACACUGAGGCACGAAAGCUAGGGGAGCAAACAGGAUUAGAUACCCCCGUAGUCC
This 448-nucleotide ribosomal RNA is filed under the name uncultured bacterium. RNAcentral's name for it is "bacterial SSU rRNA". It matches the Rfam family "Bacterial small subunit ribosomal RNA", at positions 355 to 796 of the family's 1533-position model. The record is from RNAcentral.